GUAUUCCGAGGACUCACCUGUGUGAAAACCAGGGUCGCAAAGCUACGGGCCUGCCGCGCAAUCGCUGCGUAACGGUCGCCGGGCUGCAAAC
This 91-nucleotide non-coding RNA is filed under the name Comamonas aquatica. Its description in RNAcentral is "c-di-GMP sequence". It matches the Rfam family "c-di-GMP-I riboswitch aptamer". Rfam says of the family: GEMM was predicted in a large-scale screen for bacterial structured RNA regulatory elements. Genes associated with GEMM are involved in a diverse array of functions, including chemotaxis regulation, signal transduction, secretion and chitin. RNAcentral also lists the same sequence under 1 other name. The record is from RNAcentral. Lineage: Bacteria; Pseudomonadati; Pseudomonadota; Betaproteobacteria; Burkholderiales; Comamonadaceae.